This 468-nucleotide ribosomal RNA is filed under the name uncultured bacterium. RNAcentral describes it as "partial 16S ribosomal RNA". It matches the Rfam family "Bacterial small subunit ribosomal RNA", at positions 28 to 507 of the family's 1533-position model. The record is from RNAcentral.
GACGAACGCUGGCGGCGUGCUUAACACAUGCACGUCGAACGGAAAGGCCCUGCUUUUGUGGGGUGCUCGAGUGGCGAACGGGUGAGUAACACGUGAGUAACCUGCCCUUGACUUUGGGAUAACUUCAGGAAACUGGGGCUAAUACCGGAUAGGAGCUCCUGCUGCAUGGUGGGGGUUGGAAAGUUUCGGCGGUUGGGGAUGGACUCGCGGCUUAUCAGCUUGUUGGUGGGGUAGUGGCUUACCAAGGCUUUGACGGGUAGCCGGCCUGAGGGGGUGACCGGCCACAUUGGGACUGAGAUACGGCCCAGACUCCUACGGGAGGCAGCAGUGGGGAAUAUUGCACAAUGGGCGGAAGCCUGAUGCAGCAACGCCGCGUGCGGGAUGACGGCCUUCGGGUUGUAAACCGCUUUCGCCUGUGACGAAGCGUGAGUGACGGUAAUGGGUAAAGAAGCACCGGCUAACUACGUG